UACGGAAGGUCCGGGCGUUAUCCGGAUUUACUGGGUGUAAAGGGAGCGUAGACGGAGUGGCAAGUCUGAUGUGAAAACCCGGGGCUCAACCCCGGGACUGCAUUGGAAACUGUCAAUCUAGAGUACCGGAGAGGUAAGCGGAAUUCCUAGUGUAGCGGUGAAAUGCGUAGAUAUUAGGAGGAACACCAGUGGCGAAGGCGGCUUACUGGACGGUAACUGACGUUGAGGCUCGAAAGCGUGGGGAGCAAACAGGAUUAGAAACCCCGGUAUCCGGCACUGAU
This 281-nucleotide ribosomal RNA is filed under the name Mediterraneibacter faecis JCM 15917. Its description in RNAcentral is "[Ruminococcus] faecis JCM 15917 partial 16S ribosomal RNA". It matches the Rfam family "Bacterial small subunit ribosomal RNA", at positions 524 to 804 of the family's 1533-position model. The record is from RNAcentral. Lineage: Bacteria; Bacillati; Bacillota; Clostridia; Lachnospirales; Lachnospiraceae.